Molecule: ribosomal RNA, 215 nt
Filed under: uncultured eukaryote
Lineage: Eukaryota
Description: partial 18S ribosomal RNA
Rfam family: Eukaryotic small subunit ribosomal RNA
Source: RNAcentral
UGGUGGUGUGAAUUGUCUGGUUGAUUCCGUUAACGAACGAGACCUUUGUUCUUAAAUAGUCACGGGAAGGUAUUGCGUCAAGGCCUAGGUGGGCCAACUUGCAGAAGGGCUAGUUCCCCUGUGAGUUGCAGAUCUGCCUAGGUUGCAUUGCUUCCUGGAAGAACUUCUUAAGAAGACUAUACGUGACAAGCGUAUGGAAGUUGGAGGCUAAAACA